GAUGAACGCUAGCGACAGGCCUAACACAUGCAAGUCGAGGGGCAGCACGGUGUAGCAAUACACGGGUGGCGACCGGCGCACGGGUGAGUAACGCGUAUGCAACCUGCCUACUACAAGGGGAUAACCCGUUGAAAGACGGACUAAUACCCUAUAACACAGGGAAUCCGCAUGGAUAUAUUUGUUAAAGAUUUAUCGGUAGUAGAUGGGCAUGCGUUCCAUUAGCUUGUUGGUGAGGUAACGGCUCACCAAGGCAACGAUGGAUAGGGGAACUGAGAGGUUGAUCCCCCACACUGGAACUGAGACACGGUCCAGACUCCUACGGGAGGCAGCAGUGAGGAAUAUUGGUCAAUGGACGAGAGUCUGAACCAGCCAAGUCGCGUGAAGGAAGACGGCCCUACGGGUUGUAAACUUCUUUGUAAGGGAAUAAAUAGUCUUACGCGCUAAGACGUUGCAGGUACCUUACGAAUAAGGAUCGGCUAACUCCGUGCCAGCAGCCGCGGUAAAAGUC
This 508-nucleotide ribosomal RNA is filed under the name uncultured bacterium. RNAcentral describes it as "bacterial SSU rRNA". It matches the Rfam family "Bacterial small subunit ribosomal RNA", at positions 28 to 526 of the family's 1533-position model. The record is from RNAcentral.